UGAUGGAGCACGCCGCGUGUGUGAUGAAGGCUUUCGGGUCGUAAAGCACUGUUGUAUGGGAAGAACAGCUAGAAUAGGAAAUGAUUUUAGUUUGACGGUACCAUACCAGAAAGGGACGGCUAAAUACGUGCCAGCAGCCGCGGUAAUACGUAUGUCCCGAGCGUUAUCCGGAUUUAUUGGGCGUAAAGCGAGCGCAGACGGUUUAUUAAGUCUGAUGUGAAAGCCCGGAGCUCAACUCCGGAAUGGCAUUGGAAACUGGUUAACUUGAGUGCAGUAGAGGUAAGUGGAACUCCAUGUGUAGCGGUGGAAUGCGUAGAUAUAUGGAAGAACACCAGUGGCGAAGGCGGCUUACUGGACUGCAACUGACGUUGAGGCUCGAAAGUGUGGGUAGCAAACAGGAUUAGAUACCCUGGUAGUCCACACCGUAAACGAUGAACACUAGGUGUUAGGAGGUUUCCGCCUCUUAGUGCCGAAGCUAACGCAUUAAGUGUUCCGCCUGGGGAGUACGACCGCAAGGUUGAAACUCAAAGGAAUUGACGGGGACCCGCACAAGCGGUGGAGCAUGUGGUUUAAUUCGAAGCAACGCGAAGAACCUUACCAGGUCUUGACAUCCUUUGAAGCUUUUAGAGAUAGAAGUGUUCUCUUCGGAGACAAAGUGACAGGUGGUGCAUGGUCGUCGUCAGCUCGUGUCGUGAGAUGUUGGGUUAAGUCCCGCAACGAGCGCAACCCUUAUUGUUAGUUGCCAGCAUUCAGAUGGGCACUCUAGCGAGACUGCCGGUGACAAACCGGAGGAAGGCGGGGACGACGUCAGAUCAUCAUGCCCCUUAUGACCUGGGCUACACACGUGCUACAAUGGCGUAUACAACGAGUUGCCAACCCGCGAGGGUGAGCUAAUCUCUUAAAGUACGUCUCAGUUCGGAUUGUAGUCUGCAACUCGACUACAUGAAGUCGGAAUCGCUAGUAAUCGCGGAUCAGCACGCCGCGGA
RNAcentral lists this ribosomal RNA (986 nucleotides) under Leuconostoc mesenteroides. RNAcentral describes it as "bacterial SSU rRNA". It matches the Rfam family "Bacterial small subunit ribosomal RNA", at positions 384 to 1363 of the family's 1533-position model. Lineage: Bacteria; Bacillati; Bacillota; Bacilli; Lactobacillales; Lactobacillaceae. The record is from RNAcentral.